CAGGUGGACAGGCUGCAGAAGGACGUGCAGAGUCAGGAUGCAUCCUGUGAGGAGGCCUGUCGGAGAUGUCAAGAACUGCAGAUGUGUGCAGAGAAGACACAAAGGACACUGAUGAAACUGACCAAGGCGGAUGAGCUGGCUCCGGUGGGGAACUACGACCAGAGGAAGCAGGAAGAGGAGACACGACUGCAGAACAUCCUGGAGCGUUUGAACACCCUCUCUCUGGAGCUUUCACCACCAGGACCCAGCUCUGCUGCCGGAGAUGUUUCAAAGGAAGAUAACGAGGAGGACGAUGAAGACGAAGACAGCAG
Long non-coding RNA from Anoplopoma fimbria (sablefish), 311 nucleotides. RefSeq lists it as uncharacterized. The record is from RefSeq and is a predicted model, not a curated record. NCBI's taxonomy places the organism in Eukaryota, Metazoa, Chordata, Actinopteri, Perciformes, Anoplopomatidae. The transcript has 4 exons.